This 253-nucleotide ribosomal RNA is filed under the name uncultured bacterium. RNAcentral's name for it is "partial 16S ribosomal RNA". It matches the Rfam family "Bacterial small subunit ribosomal RNA", at positions 524 to 776 of the family's 1533-position model. The record is from RNAcentral.
UACAGGGGGGGCAAGCGUUGUUCGGAAUUACUGGGCGUAAAGGGCCAGUAGGCGGCCAACUAAGUCACACGUGAAAUCCCCAGGCUUAACCUGGGAACUGCGUGUGAUACUGGAUGGCUUGAAUUCGGGAGAGGGAUGCAGAAUUCCAGGUGUAGCGGUGAAAUGCGUAGAUAUCUGGAGGAAUACCGGUGGCGAAGGCGGCAUCCUGGACCGACAUUGACGCUGAACGGCGAAAGCUAGGGGGGCAAACGGG